RNAcentral lists this ribosomal RNA (253 nucleotides) under uncultured bacterium. RNAcentral's name for it is "partial 16S ribosomal RNA". It matches the Rfam family "Bacterial small subunit ribosomal RNA", at positions 524 to 776 of the family's 1533-position model. The record is from RNAcentral.
UACGUAGGUGGCAAGCGUUGUCCGGAUUUACUGGGCGUAAAGAGCGCGCAGGCGGUCGUUCAAGUCGCGUGUGAAAGCCUCCGGCUCAACUGGGGAGGGUCACGCGAUACUGAUCGACUCGAAGGCAGGAGAGGGAAGUGGAAUUCCCGGUGUAGUGGUGAAAUGCGUAGAUAUCGGGAGGAACACCAGUGGCGAAGGCGGCUUCCUGGCCUGUUCUUGACGCUGAGGCACGAAAGCGAGGGGAGCAAACGGG